This 1153-nucleotide long non-coding RNA is filed under the name Meleagris gallopavo (turkey). Its description in RNAcentral is "lncRNA (ENSMGAG00000022200.1)". Lineage: Eukaryota; Metazoa; Chordata; Aves; Galliformes; Phasianidae. The record is from RNAcentral.
ACACAGAACUUACAACACAGUGACAUUUUUUCCUUUAUCUUCUUAUGGAAAUCUAUUGAGAAAAUAUGGCCCUCUACUUUCUUCUGAAAAACUUCUAAAAAGUGGAACGUGGUGAAUUAUGACAGGAACAACCAAGUGCAUACGCAGUCAGAUGACACAAUUCCACUCAGUAAAAAUUCACAGAUAUAACAUUUAAUGAAGCAGUCUUUUGUUCUGCUGCAACAGAGCCAAUCAUUUCCACAAGAAUGGGCGCAAGGAAAACAUUUAAUGCAAAACCUGCUCCAGGAUAAUGAAUUUUCCUACCAGAUGUCCUGACUCCUCUUAGCCCUUCUGGGCAUCGCUGUACUUCACGACUGCCACCCUCAGCUUACAAAGCCAGACCUCUGCAGCAAGCGAGCUGCACAUCCCGUCACCCCGCUGCAGCAAGCUGCGUAACAACGCUUGGCAGAGCUGCCUUCCAGCAGCCACGAGCAGUUGUUUGAUCACAGUGCAGCAGCCACGGCGGGCACGGGUCACUUCCCUGCACUCUGCUGCCCUCCGCGACGAGGCUGAUAACUCCUGACAGCGAUAGGCGCAGAGAUGACCGACCGCUGUGCAGUUGAUGUGGAAUAUAAAGCAGGUUCUGGAGCUCGGUGUCAACCACCAUUUCAGCCAGAGAAAACGAAACUCCUGGGCCCAGCAGUGCAGAACAGACAGGUACCAGCUCUGCAGCAGCAGCUUCCAGCCAUGCCCUCCGGUCAGCCCCCGGGCGUCCUCCUCGCAGCACACACCAACACAACUCCCACCGAGUGCCCAAGGUGCUUUUCUCCAGUAAAGGCUGACAGAGAUGCCAGGAGGCUCACUCUCACAGGUUAAGAACUGCUUCACAGAACAAAUACGGAGGGAAAACUUUGUGAGAUUUCACAAGUGGUACUUCUGAGCCCGACCGUGCAGCUGCGCGCCUCGCUGAGAAGUGACCCGAGCACGUGAGCAGCCGGAGCACGGCGCAGCCGUUGCACUCCGCAGGUGCCCCGCGCUGAGGAAACCGUGAGAGAUUUGCACCCAAUCACGGCAGCUGCUGCCUCCUUCCAAACUUAAAUGAGCUUGCCCUCACCCCACCAUCACGAUGAGCCAUUAGUUGAUUCGGACGCCCGGCUAGCAGUACAGGCUUUCU